CCCGCGUAAUUUAAGCAUAUUAAUAAGCGGAGGAAAAGAAACUAACAAGGAUUCCUUUGGUAGCUGCGAGCGACCUAGGAACAGCUCAGCAUAAAAUCUCAUAAUCUAACCGGUUAUUGAGAAAUGUUAUGUUUAGGAAGUUUCGUUUAUCCUAUAAUGUACACUUGGUCCAAGUCCACCUUGAAUGGGGCAUUAUCCAUAGAGGGUGCCAGCCCCGUAGUGACAAGUGUCGAUAAAUUAUUAUAGGUGAAACUUUCCUUAGAGUCGGGUUGCUUGCAAAUGCAGCUCUAAGUUGGUGGUAAACUCCAUCUAAAGCUAAAUAUAACCACGAGACCGAUAGCGAACAAGUACCAUGAGGGAAAGUUGAAAAGAACUUUGAAGAGAGAGUUCAAUAGUACGUGAAACCGUUUAGAGGUAAACGGGAGAAAUCCGAAAAUCUGAAGGAAGUGAUUCACGUAAUAUCUACAUUAUAUAUUAUAUAUUAAUGAUGAUUUUUAAACUCCUCUUGUGCAAUUUUAUUGUACUAUCGAGGAUUCCGUUUAAUAUCACAUUUUGUAUAAAUAAUCAAUGAAUAUAAUGUGGUUUACCGCAUUUCAAACCUUCCUUAAAACAAGAAAAUGUCGCAACCC
This 629-nucleotide ribosomal RNA is filed under the name Acanthocordax papuanus. Its description in RNAcentral is "eukaryotic LSU rRNA". It matches the Rfam family "Eukaryotic large subunit ribosomal RNA", at positions 24 to 635 of the family's 3401-position model. Lineage: Eukaryota; Metazoa; Arthropoda; Insecta; Dermaptera; Forficulidae. The record is from RNAcentral.